GACGAACGCUGGCGGCGUGCUUAACACAUGCAAGUCGAACGGAAAGGCCUGCUUUCCCUUGUGGAUUGCGGGUACUCGAGUGGCGAACGGGUAAGUAACUCGUGAGUGAUCUGCCCCCAACUUCGGUAUCAGCCUGGGAAACUGGGUCUAAUUCCCGAUAGGACUGCAGGGUGGUGCCUGUCGUGGAAUACGAUUUUCUAGUGGUUGGGGAUGAGCUCGCGGCCUAUCAGCGUGGUGGUGAGGUAAUGGUCUACCAAGGCGGCGACGGGUAGCUGGCCUGAGAGCAUGGACGGUCACACUGAGACUGGGACACGGCCCAGACGGCGACGGGAAGCAGGAGUGAUGAAUAUAUCACAAUGGGCGGAAUCCAGAUGCGGCGAGGCCGUGUAGAGGAUCUCGGCCUUGGGGAGGUAAACUCCUUGGGACCGCGAGGAGGCAGCUAAGUUGGAAGUGUGGUGACGGUAGUAAUAGAAGAAGCACCGGCUAACUACGUG
This 494-nucleotide ribosomal RNA is filed under the name uncultured bacterium. RNAcentral's name for it is "partial 16S ribosomal RNA". It matches the Rfam family "Bacterial small subunit ribosomal RNA", at positions 28 to 507 of the family's 1533-position model. The record is from RNAcentral.